GGCGACGAGUGGCGGACGGGUGAGUAAUGCUUGGGAAUUUGCCUAGUAGUGGGGGACAACACGGGGAAACCUGUGCUAAUACCGGAUAAGUCCUUACGGAGAAAGUUUUAAUGCCAAAAGAUGAGCCCGCAUUUGAUUAGCUAGUUGGCGAGGUAAAAGCUCACCAAGGCGAUAAUCAAUAGCUGAUUUGAGAGGAUGAUCAGCCACACUGGGACUGAGAUACGGCCCAGACUCC
Molecule: ribosomal RNA, 235 nt
Filed under: uncultured bacterium
Lineage: Bacteria
Description: partial 16S ribosomal RNA
Rfam family: Bacterial small subunit ribosomal RNA
Source: RNAcentral